GUGAUUUUACAUUAAUCCCCGUGUACCGGGGUAAGAUGAUCGCAGGAGGGUCA
Molecule: small RNA, 53 nt
Filed under: Saccharolobus solfataricus
Lineage: Archaea; Thermoproteati; Thermoproteota; Thermoprotei; Sulfolobales; Sulfolobaceae
Source: RNAcentral